AUCCCAUGAUGAGGGCACCUUCUCAGUCAGUCCUUGUAUCUCUCCCAUGCAUCGUAGAGGGUUUCUAAAUCCAUCUACAAAAAAGAAGAGAUAUCAUUACGUAAUUU
This 107-nucleotide small nucleolar RNA is filed under the name Gossypium arboreum. RNAcentral describes it as "Plant small nucleolar RNA R71". It matches the Rfam family "Plant small nucleolar RNA R71". Rfam says of the family: R71 is a member of the C/D box family of snoRNAs containing the C (UGAUGA) and D (CUGA) box motifs. The record is from Rfam by way of RNAcentral. Lineage: Eukaryota; Viridiplantae; Streptophyta; Magnoliopsida; Malvales; Malvaceae.